Molecule: ribosomal RNA, 1371 nt
Filed under: uncultured bacterium
Lineage: Bacteria
Description: bacterial SSU rRNA
Rfam family: Bacterial small subunit ribosomal RNA
Source: RNAcentral
GAUGAACGCUGGCGGCGUGCCUAAUACAUGCAAGUCGAGCGAACGGACGAGAAGCUUGCUUCUCUGAUGUUAGCGGCGGACGGGUGAGUAACACGUGGAUAACCUACCUAUAAGACUGGGAUAACUUCGGGAAACCGGAGCUAAUACCGGAUAAUAUUUUGAACCGCAUGGUUCAAAAGUGAAAGACGGUCUUGCUGUCACUUAUAGAUGGAUCCGCGCUGCAUUAGCUAGUUGGUAAGGUAACGGCUUACCAAGGCAACGAUGCAUAGCCGACCUGAGAGGGUGAUCGGCCACACUGGAACUGAGACACGGUCCAGACUCCUACGGGAGGCAGCAGUAGGGAAUCUUCCGCAAUGGGCGAAAGCCUGACGGAGCAACGCCGCGUGAGUGAUGAAGGUCUUCGGAUCGUAAAACUCUGUUAUUAGGGAAGAACAUAUGUGUAAGUAACUGUGCACAUCUUGACGGUACCUAAUCAGAAAGCCACGGCUAACUACGUGCCAGCAGCCGCGGUAAUACGUAGGUGGCAAGCGUUAUCCGGAAUUAUUGGGCGUAAAGCGCGCGUAGGCGGUUUUUUAGUCUGAUGUGAAAGCCCACGGCUCAAUCGUGGAGGGUCAUUGGAAACUGGAAAACUUGAGUGCAGAAGAGGAAAGUGGAAUUCCAUGUGUAGCGGUGAAAUGCGCAGAGAUAUGGAGGAACACCAGUGGCGAAGGCGACUUUCUGGUCUGUAACUGACGCUGAUGUGCGAAAGCGUGGGGAUCAAACAGGAUUAGAUACCCUGGUAGUCCACGCCGUAAACGAUGAGUGCUAAGUGUUAGGGGGUUUCCGCCCCUUAGUGCUGCAGCUAACGCAUUAAGCACUCCGCCUGGGGAGUACGACCGCAAGGUUGAAACUCAAAGGAAUUGACGGGGACCCGCACAAGCGGUGGAGCAUGUGGUUUAAUUCGAAGCAACGCGAAGAACCUUACCAAAUCUUGACAUCCUUUGACAACUCUAGAGAUAGAGCUUUCCCCUUCGGGGGACAAAGUGACAGGUGGUGCAUGGUUGUCGUCAGCUCGUGUCGUGAGAUGUUGGGUUAAGUCCCGCAACGAGCGCAACCCUUAAGCUUAGUUGCCAUCAUUAAGUUGGGCACUCUAAGUUGACUGCUGGUGACAAACCGGAGGAAGGUGGGGAUGACGUCAAAUCAUCAUGCCCCUUAUGAUUUGGGCUACACACGUGCUACAAUGGACAAUACAAAGGGCAGCGAAACCGCGAGGUCAAGCAAAUCCCAUAAAGUUGUUCUCAGUUCGGAUUGUAGUCUGCAACUCGACUACAUGAAGCUGGAAUCGCUAGUAAUCGUAGAUCAGCAUGCUACGGUGAAUACGUUCCCGGGUCU